RNAcentral lists this ribosomal RNA (271 nucleotides) under uncultured prokaryote. Its description in RNAcentral is "partial 16S ribosomal RNA". It matches the Rfam family "Bacterial small subunit ribosomal RNA", at positions 524 to 794 of the family's 1533-position model. The record is from RNAcentral.
UACGUAGGGGGCAAGCGUUAUCCGGAUUUACUGGGUGUAAAGGAAGCGUAGGCGGACUUUUAAGUGAGAUGUGAAAUACCCGGGCUCAACUUGGGUGCUGCAUUUCAAACUGGAAGUCUAGAGUGCAGGAGAGGAGAAUGGAAUUCCUAGUGUAGCGGUGAAAUGCGUAGAGAUUAGGAAGAACACCAGUGGCGAAGGCGAUUCUCUGGACUGUAACUGACGCUGAGGCUCGAAAGCGUGGGGAGCAAACAGGAUUAGAUACCCGGGUAGU